This 479-nucleotide ribosomal RNA is filed under the name uncultured bacterium. Its description in RNAcentral is "partial 16S ribosomal RNA". It matches the Rfam family "Bacterial small subunit ribosomal RNA", at positions 28 to 507 of the family's 1533-position model. The record is from RNAcentral.
GAUGAACGCUGGCGGCGUGCUUAACACAUGCAAGUCGAACGAAGCACCUUGAUUUGCUUCUUCGGAUGAAGAUCUUGGUGACUGAGUGGCGGACGGGUGAGUAACGCGUGGGUAACCUGCCUCAUACAGGGGGAUAACAGUUAGAAAUGACUGCUAAUACCGCAUAAGACCACAGCACCGCAUGGUGCAGGGGUAAAAACUCCGGUGGUAUGAGAUGGACCCGCGUCUGAUUAGGUAGUUGGUGGGGUAACGGCCUACCAAGCCGACGAUCAGUAGCCGACCUGAGAGGGUGACCGGCCACAGUGGGACUGAGACACGGCCCAAACUCCUACGGGAGGCAGCAGUGGGGAAUAUUGCACAAUGGGGGAAACCCUGAUGCAGCGACGCCGCGUGAGCGAUGAAGUAUUUCGGUAUGUAAAGCUCUAUCAGCAGGGAAGAAAAUGACGGUACCUGACUAAGAAGCACCGGCUAAAUACGUG